RNAcentral lists this long non-coding RNA (8211 nucleotides) under Triticum aestivum (bread wheat). RNAcentral's name for it is "long non-coding RNA (TAES_LNC010682)". The record is from RNAcentral. Lineage: Eukaryota; Viridiplantae; Streptophyta; Magnoliopsida; Poales; Poaceae.
AGGUGCCUAUGUUACCGAGCAGGUGACGCAACCAAGGUCAAGGAGGAGCUCGAUGAAGAUCUUGCCCUUUGUGUUGUUUCGUUCUAGUUGAUCAGUAGUGGAGCCCAGUUGGGGUCGAUCGGGGACCUUUGUCGCAUUUGGGGUUCUUCUUUAUUUUGGUUCCGUAGUCGGACCUUGAUUGUAUCUGGAUGAUGUAAUGCUUUAUUCAUGUAAUUGUGUGAAGUGGCGAUUGUAAGCCAACUAUGUAUCUCUUUCCCUUAUGUAUUACAUGGGUUGUGUGAAGAUUACCUCACUUGCGACAUUGCUUUCAAUGCGGUUAUGCCUCUAAGUCGUGCUUCGACACGUGGGAGAUAUAGCCGCAUCGAGGGCGUUACAAGUUGGUAAUCAGAGCCUUCCCCGACCUUAGGAGCCCCACUGCUUGAUCGUUUUUAGCGGCCGAGUUGUGUCUAGAAAAAUGUUUUGAGUCAUUUAGGAUUAUAUAUAUCGGAGAGUUAGGAAUUCUUUUUACUCCCCAGUCUCUUCAUCGCUCUGGUAAGGCAUCCUGACGUAGAGUUUUGACUCUUCUCUUCUCAAAUUUCACUAAUUUUUUUUUAGGAUCACGCGGGUAUCUUGGAAUCGUUCCGAUGGUUUUAUGAUGAGAACAUUGUCUUGGUGCCUCCUGUCAGGGGUUUAGUGGAAGUGUCCCGGGGAGUUGAGCUCUGAGGUGUUGUCGUCAUAAUUUUAUCGUUGCAGUUCUGGAAUACCUGAGUUUAGUACGCCGACAUCGAAAAUCUCUUUUAUGCAGUUGUUGGUGAGAUAACCCCGAUAACCCAGUACUGAGGUGAGUACGGGAGUAUUGCCAUGACUCGUAUAACGGAUGCUUUUCGAAGGUUGAGGUAGAUGAUUUCCGAAGGUUUCUUGGUUAUGUGUUGAAGGAUGGAUACAGCUGGAUGUAGGAUUUGUUAGUUUUGGGUGAGAUAUUAUGCUUCCCCUGUAUCCCCGACACCUGAUUGCAUAACCGGAAAAUUUCGGGAGUUUCAUAGGUGGGAAUUCAAGUAGCUCUUAGGAUAUCUUUCUGACGGAUGUAUGAUAUGAAAUUGGGGUUCGACGUCUAGUGGUCCGCCUAUUCACGGUUGGUUUUACAGUGGUCUCGUUGUGUCUUAAAGAGUCCUUGGCUAUGCCGACUCGGGGACGCUUCGUAUGUCAUGUGCACUGCCUUGUACAUGAUGGUGCUGUACACUCGAGCCCGUGUAGGCCCCACCACGAAAACUUCGGACGAAAUCUCUAUCAUAUGUUUGUUCUGGCUUAUUUUGCAAGCCAAUCCUUUGUUUUGUUUUGAGUUGUGGUAUUCGAGUUGCUUCGAAGUCAAAUGUUGAUUCCAUACCUUUUCCAAAUGGUGUUCUCAUAUUCCUAUGUGAAUACUAAUCCUUCUUGAUCAUCGAGUCUGUCUUGUCAAUCCUUUUUUUUAACCGGUGUGUCUCUCCUCAAGUGGAUCCGUUCACGUCAACAUUUGCAAGAUCAUUUAUCACUUCUUCUCAACGGUGUUUGUUUCAUCCGUCUCCAAGUUGUCUUUGUUUUUCCCACCCUCCCUCCCUUUUGUUUUCUUCAAGGACUAAGAUUUCUUCUUCAAGUAUCCAUUUUAUUGAUGGGAAGUUUCUCCAUUCUUUUCCGUCAAUGUUCUUAUCCGGUGAUUCUCAUGAAGAUUCUAAUGGAGCUUCAAGUUCGUCAUUCCUCGUUCUUUUCUUCUCCGGUGGAUUUAAUUCAAGCUUUGGUAUUAAGCAUACUCCUUUUCUUUUUUUUCCAAUGCUUUUCUUAUGCCGGUGCACCUCUUAAUCAUCCAUCUCUCGCUAUUAAAUUGUUCCGGAGUGCUCAAGAUAUCUCGAAGAUUCGUGUUUCCACUCUGCAUUCGUUCAAGCUCUUUCGAGAUUGGUAUCUCAUUCAAGUCAUUUAAUUCAACCGGUGCAACAUCUCUUUUAAAUCUUUUCAACGGUGUUCUUUUGAGUGGGCCCUAACCACAGGUCUUUUCCCAGGAUCUUACCUGACUCUUCUAUUUUCCCAGAGCUAUCCUAAAUUCUUCUCCAAGUUUGACGUAAGAAUGAGUUAUCAUUAGUCAAAUGCUUUUCUCCAAGAUCUUUCAAAUUCUUUUCAUAGUUGGCUCAACCUCUUCGCUUUUGAUUCUUCCGGUGUGCCUCAAUAAUUCUUGGUGGUGUUUCUUGUUGUCAUUCUCAUCAUUUGAAGACCGAAGAAGAGUUUCUCUUUAAUCUUGCUCUAUUCUCUUCAAGAUUCAUGGUGCUAGCUUGUUGCCAUCCUCUCAUAAUUGUUUUCGAUUGUGAGAAUCUUUUUCACCCAUCAGGAGAUAUUCAAGAGUCUUCUCAGUUUGUCAUCCGGAGUCCAUCAAUUCAGGUUUAUUCAUUCUCAGCCGUUAGUUAUCAUUCUCCUAUCUUGCCGGUGCAUCUAUCGAAUAUCCUCUAAUCAGUUCUUGAUCUCUUUGUUCUCAUGUAUCUAGUUUGUCUCAAGCACCUUCGUUCAUUUGCUAAUUCUUACCGGUGAUGCACCCCUACUUCAAUCAUUUUCAAUUCUUACGGUGGUUCUUUCAAGAUCUCUCUUCCUUGUUCAUCAUAUCAAUUCAUUUGUUGUCCCAAUCCUACCGGUGGUUCGUUGAAGACCUUCUCAAGUUUACGCUAUAUCUCUUUUAAUCCUUUCUACGAGAAUAAGUAGUAUGCCAAAUCCGUUGAUUCUCGUCAAUUUAAUUGGUGAAGGAUAAGCAUAACAUAAUUCUUAUUCUUGUUCAUCCAAGUGAUUAAUUCUUUAUUCCGGAGGCCCUUAAAAUUCUCGGUUUCAUUUGUUUCAUCUUCUCUUUUUCCCGGAGUUCCGAGCUCUAAUUAUCACGGAGAUCCAUCUAAAUCAUUGCAAGGAUUCACCUUGUGUUUUCAAUUUCUCUUUCUUUUCAUUCCUUUUGUUUACCGGAGUUCUUCAUGGAGGUUCUACAUGAUGGUUCAUCAAGGAUUUAAUUCCCUUCUCAAAGUUUUCAGCGAGAUUCUUUCGUAAGGAGCUCAAGCUUUCUUCAUAUGGUAAUCCGGAGUGCAAUUCUUUCUACCAUAUUUUGGAGGUGGUAUUAUGUCAUUCUUGAUAAUUUGAGUUCAUGUUCCAUGAUUCACAUGUUGUUAAGAAUGAGAUAUUUUAAAUCCAUCAAUCUCUUCUUUGGAGUUAUCUUGAGUUAUAUUUCACCUAAAGCCUUCCCUAAGGAUUGUUGCCAUUUAUGGUGCUUGUAAAUGAUCCAAGUACUUCAUUUAUCCUCCCGGUGAAAUAAGUUUCUCGUCUCCUCGUUCAUAUCAAUCCAAUUCUUCUUCCCGUGAGUGGCAGGUUGUCAUCUCAUAAUUUGAGAUGUAUUUCAUAAGACCAUAUCAAGAUUAUUCUUUUCGUUGUUGGUUUUCAACAACUCCAUUCUAGCAUUUGUUGUAUCUGUGAUCUCUCAACAUCUUGUUUCCCUUCGUUCCGGAGUCAUUGCGAUGUUGCUCUUUUCAACCCAUCAUCUCGUUUGUCAAAGAUCAUGUUCUUUUCGUGCUUAUCCAUUUAACCAGAGUGUCGUGUCCUCUGCUCAAGUUCUUUUCAUCUUAUCUAGGCUUGUAUCACUUUUCAAUCGGAGUGCUGUUCGAAUUUGGUCUUCCUUGGUCCCCUUCCUUAACCGGCGUGUUUUCAAUAUAUAUCUUCCCUUCAACCUCAAGGUUUCGCAAUGCUCUUUGUCCCUAGUUUCUAACGGAGUGUUUUCGACUUUGUUCUCCUUCGUUCUAUUCUUUUCUUGAAUUUGUUCAACCUCUCAAGGUUCUUUGGUUUCACUCAUUGGUCAAAGAAGCAACUUAGUUUUACCUCUUCUCUUCCUCUUCCAUUUCUCUCCGGUGCCAUUCUAGAUCUCGGGACGAGAUCCUCUCGUAGUGGUGGAGUGUUGUAACGCCCCGAGACCGACGCUCCAGAAGACUUCCAGCUAUUCCGAGUUUCGUCGUGUGAUUUGUUUUAUUUGUUGCAUUCAUCCUUGCAUCAUGUGCAUUGCAUCAUGUCAUCAUGCCAUCAUAUCAUUAAUUUUUUUAAACCUCAACUAAAUAAAUUGUAUGGAUUUUUCGAUCCAUUUAAACCGAGGGAACUCACAUGGUGACUUCUCUUUAUAACAUAUCCUCCAAUAUUAGGGAGCUAUAUUAAAUGUUCCAUUCUUUUGGAAUUAACCAAAACACACUUGAAAAAUCCCCACUCCCUUUAUACUUCAAGUUUGGUCCCCAAACUUUGCCAACAUUUCUUUUCCCAUUUAUCGAGGCUCCUCCUAAAUUCUCAACAUUUUUGGACUCUUCUAAAUCCUAGUCCUAGUUCAAACCUAUUGAAUUAAAUUCAAAUGAUUUUGAAUUUAAUCUUUCGAUCAUGCCCACUUCUAUUUUUCCUGGAUCGAGCUCAUUUUUGUGAGUCCGGGAAUAUUGUCUCCAUGCGCAAAUCUUCCCCCUAACCUCUCUUUCCUUUCUUUCUUUUCUCUGUACUGUUUUUUAUUCAUUAAGAGAGAGAGAGAGAGAGAGGUAAGCCCAGUCGGCCUCCUGCAGCCCAGCUAGGCCCUUUGUCAGCCCACCAGGCCUCUGCCAUUUUUUUUCUCUCCACUGGGCCGGCCUCCCAGGCCCAGCCGCGCCCCCCUCUAACCCUAGCCCGACUCCCUCCUGUCGAUCUCUCCCUGUGCGCCGCACACCCCCGCAUCGCCCGAUCCUCUCGCUCCCGCACCCAUCGCAUCGAGCCACCCAGUGCCCGAUCCCCUCUCCUCGAUCUUCCCCUUCCUCUCCGGUGCGCCUCCACCUCUCCCUUCCUUCUCCCUCCACCGGCGCCAGCCGCCCUGUCGCCCGAGCGCUCAAGGAGAGCAGCUCCUCGAGCCUCGUCGCUGCUGCUUCCUCCCUCUGCCGCCAGAGAGGAGCGAGAGCCUCUCACUCGAGCCGCGCCGCCGGCCAAGUCCCUCGACCCACCGACCAGAGCCGCCUCCUCCCUCACCUGCGGCCUCCUCCUCGUCGCCUCCGCGCCACCAGCCAGGCUCCCGAGCCGCGGCCGCCGCCCGGAUCCAGCGCCCCCGCGACCGCCGCGGUGCCCUGCGUCGCCGGAGUCCUGCGCCAAGACAUCCCCCGCCUCGGUUUCGGUCCUCCCCGCGCCGAGUCCCUCUGCUGCCCCCUGCUUUGUGCCUUCUGUCGUCGUCCCCGAGCUCGGCCAACUCCAGCGGCCCCGGCGCCCGCGCCAAGCUUGCCGCCUCGCCAUCUGGUUCCGCCUCAGCCAUCCCGGAGCGCCACCGUCCGGCUCCCGUCGCCCCUUUGCAGGAGCAGCCCCAUGCCCCGCCUCUGCCUUGUUCGAGCAGGGAGGAGGAUGCGCCUCCGCUCGCCCUCAUCGACCAGGAACGCCAAGGCCAAGACCAGCCCCGGGCAGGACCUCGUGUUCAUCUACAUCGCCAAGACCCUAGGCCUUUUGGUGUUGCUCUGUUUUGGAACACCAAGUACCUCGACGCCGAAGACCCGUGUACAACUACUGUUUCCUGCCUAGAACGACUACCGUCGACGUGCAUUUCGCCAAGUACCACUACCGACGAGCCCCGAAGGACUUGGUUGCGACAAGUUCCUCUCCAAACGUGAACGUCUACUUCCACGACUGCUACAAGAACAACUACUUCCACGACGUCCGUGAACCACUACCGUCGCCCCGAAGAUGUUGGAUUCGUCAAGUACCUCUCCGAAAAACGAACGUGUACCACUACUUCCACGACGCCCGUGAACGUCUACCUCCACGACGACCCGUGAACGUCUACGAGAUGUACCACUACCGUCGACCCGUGAACGUCUACUUCCCUCUACGAACUCGAUCCGCCCGAAACGCACGCUUCGAAGGUAUAACACCGAGACGAUGUUCGUGGACCGAAUGCUUUGUUGUAUGAGAUGCUUAUGUUUGCACCGUGUCCAAAAUUGUCGCGUGCAUGUUUCACCUCGUUGCCAUGCCACCAUCUUGUGGGAACCCGGUAUCCGGGAUCACCCCACCUUCUAUCGCAUGUCACGCUCUCGUCACUUUUCCUUUUGCACCGGUAUCUCCAUGAGCUAUCGGGACCGGAAUGUUGCCGUGGCAUCAUUUUUGUUUCGCCGCCGUGGCACCCUUUUUGUUCCGCCAUGGUGACCUAAUGCUUCAUAACAUGCUCAUGUCAACAUUUUCAUAAAAUUGCAUAAAACUUGUAUAUGUCAUCCGCAUCAUGAUAACAACAUUUAAAAAUGUUUAAACUUGUUGUUGCAUCAAAUUGCUAAAUGAUAUGGGGAUUCUCCGGAAUUGUUGUUUGUUGCUUCCGGCCUCAUUUAACCUUGACUAGAUAGGUAGUUUUCAUUUGCUUCACCCUCUUCCCAUGCUUAACAACAUUUAAUAUUGUUGGGUACAUAAACGGGAUCAAACUAAAUAACUUAUCGUGGUGUUUCGUCAAUAUGCAGUUGCAUAUUGAGCUCCAUUUAACUUGUAGUAUUGUUUGUUGCACUUUGCCAUGCCAUGCCUCAUUAAACCGGACAUGCAUCAUACUUGUUUGUGCAUCAUGACUUGUUUAUGCUUGUGUGUUUACUAUGUUGUUUGUUUCUUUCCGGGUUGCUUCUCUCGUUAGCUUCGGUUUCGUUCCGGAGUUGUGAGGAUUUGUUCAUCUACGGCCGUUUGUCUUCUUCUUGGAUUCGUUCUUCUUCCUUGCGGGAUCUCAGGCAAGAUGAUCAUACCCUCGAAAUCACUACUAUCUUUGCUAUGCUAGUUUGCUCGCUCUUUUGCUAUGCCAAUGCUACGAUGCCUACCAUUUGCUUGUCAGCCUCCCAAAUUGCCAUGUCAAACCUCUAACCCACCAUGUCCUAGCAAACCGUUGUUUGGCUAUGUUACCGCUUUGCUUAGCCCCUCUUAUAGCGUUGUUAGUUGCAGGUGAAGAUCGAAGUUUGUUCCUUGUUGGAACAUGGAAAUGUUGUUCCUUGUUGGAACAUGUUUACUUGUUGGGAUAUCACAAUAUAUCUUACUUAAUUAAUGCAUCUAUAUACUUGGUAAAGGGUGGAAGGCUCGGCCUUAUGCCUGGUGUUUUGUUCCACUCUUGCCGCCCUAGUUUCCGUCAUAUCGGUGUUAUGUUCCCGGAUUUUGCGUUCCUUACACGGUUGGGCUAUAAUGGGAACCCCUUGACAGUUCGCCUUAAGUAAAGCUCUUCCAGCAAUGCCCAACAUUGGUUUUACCAUUUGCACUAACAACCUACCACCUUCCCUUGGGUUCUGCAGACUCAAGGGUCAUCUUUAUUCUAACCCCCCCGGGCCAGUGCUCCUCUGAGUGUUGGUCCGAACUAGAGCCCUGUGCAGCGCCCCCUCGGGGAAACUCGAGGUUUGGUUUUAGUUGUACGGAUUGCUCAUCUGAGUGUGCCCUGAGAAAGAGAUAUGUGCAGCUCCUAUCGGGAUUUGUCGGCACAUUCGGGCGGUGUUGCUGGUUUAGUUUUACCCUGUCGAAAUGUCUUGUUGUACCGGGAUACCGAGUCUGAUCGGAACGUCUCAGGUGGAGGUCUAUUCCUUUGUUGACCGUGAGAGCUUGUGAUGGGCUAAGUUGGGACACCCCUGCAGGGUAUUAUCUUUCGAAAGCCGUGCCCGCGGUUAUGUGGCAGAUGGGAAUUUGUUAACGUCCGGUUGUAGAAAACCCGAAGUUGACCUUAAUUAAAAUACAUCAACCGUGUGUGUAACCGUGAUGGUCUCUUUCCGGCGGAGUCCGGGAAGUGAACACGGUGUUGGAGUUAUGCUUGACGUAGGUUGCUAUAGGAUCACUUCUUGAUCAUACUUUUAUCGACCGUGCUUUGCCCUCUCUUCUCGCUCUCUUUUGCGAUUGUAGCCACCAUAUAUGCUAGUCGCUUGCUGCAGCUCCACCUCAUUACUCCAUCCUUCCUAUAAGCUUAAAUAGUCUUGAUCUCGCGGGUGCGAGAUUGCUGAGUCCCCAUGGCUCACAGAUACUUCCAAAACCAGUUUGCAGGUGCCUAUGUUACCGUGCAGAUGACGCAACCAAGCUCAAGGAGGAGCUCGAUGAAGAUCUUGCCCUUUGUGUUGUUUCGUUCUAGUUGAUCAGUAGUGGAGCCCAGUUGGGGUCGAUCGGGGACCUUUGUCGCAUUUGGGGUUCUUCUUUUAUUUUGGUUCCGUAGUCGGACCUUGAUUGUAUCUGGAUGAUGUAAUGCUUUAUUCAUGUAAUUGUGUGAAG